Molecule: non-coding RNA, 125 nt
Organism: Triticum aestivum (bread wheat)
Lineage: Eukaryota; Viridiplantae; Streptophyta; Magnoliopsida; Poales; Poaceae
Source: Rfam
CACGUACUCCCUCCGUUCGAAAAUAUUUAUCGGAAGAAUGAAUGUAUCUAGACGUAUUUUAAUUCUAGAUACAUUCAUUUUUAUACAUUUCUCCGACAAGUAUUUCAGGACGGAGGGAGUACUAG